UAUUCGCAGAGCACCCACUAGGUGCCAGUAAAUGUAUGAGAAGUCCUGUGGAAUAAGACUGAAGUUGUCCUUGCCUUCAAGCAACUUGCAAUUGCCUAAGAACACAGUUUAAAACCACAAAACUAAGCCUUGGAAAUCACAUGCUGUCAUUUCUGCGAUCGGUCAUAACCAGUCCUGAUUCCAUGUUAGAGGAGACUACAUAAGGACACAGGUACCAGAAGGAGACUAACCAGCAUGGGCUACAUCAAAAAGGCUGCCAUCUACUUUCUGCUGGGUAGGGGCACCAGAGAGACUUGUCAGAAACUAGAAGGAAGGUAGAGUGCGAAAUCUGAGUGUUAAUUCCCUGGCUUCAUCAAAGGACACUGGUCUUCACAAGGAAACAGACUACAUGAUUCUCCUUUUGGGCUUCAGUAAAAACCCCCUCCUUUCAUCCCUUAGUCUAGGGAUGGUAAGAGGUCAGCAGCUAAGAAUUCUAGGUUCUUUGUGGUUUUCCCGUAUACAUGUCUUUGAUGAUAGCCCCUUUGGAAAUAAAUUCUCCUAGACUUUU
Molecule: long non-coding RNA, 547 nt
Filed under: Homo sapiens (human)
Lineage: Eukaryota; Metazoa; Chordata; Mammalia; Primates; Hominidae
Description: non-protein coding lnc-SOD3-6:2
Source: RNAcentral